Molecule: ribosomal RNA, 468 nt
Filed under: uncultured bacterium
Lineage: Bacteria
Description: partial 16S ribosomal RNA
Rfam family: Bacterial small subunit ribosomal RNA
Source: RNAcentral
GACGAACGCUGGCGGCGUGCUUAACACAUGCAAGUCGAACGGAAAGGCCCUGCUUUUGUGGGGUGCUCGAGUGGCGAACGGGUGAGAAACACGUGAGUAACCUGCCCUUGACUUUGGGAUAACUUCAGGAAACUGGGGCUAAUACCGGAUAGGAGCUCCUGCUGCAUGGUGGGGGUUGGAAAGUUUCGGCGGUUGGGGAUGGACUCGCGGCUUAUCAGCUUGUUGGUGGGGUAGUGGCUUACCAAGGCUUUGACGGGUAGCCGGCCUGAGAGGGUGACCGGCCACAUUGGGACUGAGAUACGGCCCAGACUCCUACGGGAGGCAGCAGUGGGGAAUAUUGCACAAUGGGCGGAAGCCUGAUGCAGCAACGCCGCGUGCGGGAUGGCGGCCUUCGGGUUGUAAACCGCUUUCGCCUGUGACGAAGCGUGAGUGACGGUAAUGGGUAAAGAAGCACCGGCUAACUACGUG